This 253-nucleotide ribosomal RNA is filed under the name uncultured prokaryote. RNAcentral's name for it is "partial 16S ribosomal RNA". It matches the Rfam family "Bacterial small subunit ribosomal RNA", at positions 524 to 776 of the family's 1533-position model. The record is from RNAcentral.
UACGUAGGGUGCAAGCGUUAAUCGGAAUUACUGGGCGUAAAGCGUGCGCAGGCGGCCAGAUGUGUCAGGUGUGAAAGCCCGGGGCUUAACCCCGGAAUUGCGCCUGAAACUGUCUGGCUAGAGUACUGGAGAGGGUAGCGGAAUUCACGGUGUAGCAGUGAAAUGCGUAGAUAUCGUGAGGAACACCAGAGGCGAAGGCGACUACCUGGACUGAUACUGACACUGAGGUGCGAAAGCGUGGGGAGCAAACAGG